GGAGGAAAACGCCAGGUGGCUAACCAGACUUCCAGGGGUGGGGGCGGGGAAUGCGACGCCGCUCCAGGGAGGGCUGGGGGAGGGGAAGGAGAGUGUGUGCCCGCCCCACGGUCCCGACCCUUGUUCCCACCUUACACACUGGAUGGAGCUCCCUCACAGCCAGAGGAAAGAGGAGGGCAGGAGGAGUGGAAGAGAUGAGGGCCAGGAUGAAAGGAGAGUUAGACUGAAGGACCUCCCCCAACGUCUGGAAUCUGGACCCAGGGGCCGUGGUUCGAAUCCGGACUCUGCCACCACUUACUACCUGUGUAACCUUGGACAGGACCUCAGUCUCCCCAUCGUGUGGCAAACUUUCUGUAGUCCUGGCUACUGAUUGGGAUAAGAAACAAGAGACUACCUCCCAGAAGGUGAACUGUUUGGAGAAGGCAAUAUGAACAUGCCUGCUGUGACCACACGCUGCAUCAGAAGACCCAGAAUGAACUUUUGGGAUAUGGUGAAUUUGAACUAUGGGGGCUUGAAAGCAUUUGUUUUGAAUGCAUACUUUUAUACCAAAGGGGAUUUCCCCCAUUUGGCUUUUUGUCAAUGCAUCCAGCAAUCAUUGUUUUUGUUUUCUUUUCCUUUUAUAUACAAAUUAUUACAACUUAUAAGUUAGUUAGGUUUCCAUGAUCCUUUUGGGGAGACUGGUCUCCCAAUAGGAUCAUAGGGGGAAUGUAUUAAUUAGAAUCUUGAACCCCUGGACUUCAUUCCCCCAGAAGUCCUUCAGUAUUUUCUAGAAUUCCUCUCCUCUUUCCACCACAUUUGCAUAUAGUUCUGUGUAAGCCACACCCUCACGUCUCUUCUCUAGCUAGCAGGCAGGGUUGAGGUAGUUUUUACUCUAGUUGUUAUUAAUAAACCUUAUAAAAUAUAAAACCUUCGUUAUUGUAUGUUAAUUUAAAAACCCACACUUUUCAGUAUUCUGUA
Monodelphis domestica (gray short-tailed opossum) is the source of this 957-nucleotide long non-coding RNA. RefSeq lists it as uncharacterized. NCBI's taxonomy places the organism in Eukaryota, Metazoa, Chordata, Mammalia, Didelphimorphia, Didelphidae. The record is from RefSeq and is a predicted model, not a curated record.